Long non-coding RNA from Notolabrus celidotus (New Zealand spotty), 748 nucleotides. RefSeq lists it as uncharacterized. The transcript has 2 exons. NCBI's taxonomy places the organism in Eukaryota, Metazoa, Chordata, Actinopteri, Labriformes, Labridae. The record is from RefSeq and is a predicted model, not a curated record.
CGGUUGGCUGGCUGAUUAAACUAACAUUGUCUGAAGACACUGGAAGCAGCCUCGUCUGUGCUUCCUGGAGUCACAUGAUAGAUGUCAGCUCACCUGCUGCUCAUCUGCCAUUAAGCCACCUACACUCUCUGCAGUACAAAAGCCCGGCUCAGUCUUCAAUUCCGUAACUGAGUUGAACAAAUGCAAAGCCAAAACAUCUAUCAGUGUAGGCCUUUUUUAAAAUGAACACUAGCUUUAAUUUAAAUAAAUCCAGGCUGCAGAGCUGAGGUGCAGGAUUGUGCCCUUUCCCUUUUAUCUGUCUGUAUAGAAUCUGAGGUGCAUGUAUUGCAGCAUGAAGGUGUGGUGAUGGCACCUUCAGAAACACGCUCACAGAAUCUACAUGUGAUCGAUUCACGUAUCGCCUCCCAGCAGCCGCAGACUCCCGUAUAGAGAGAGGUCAAGUAUACAACCAGUGCUGCUCUCUGCAGAGCUUGUUCCAUUAACCCGUGGCAGAGUGUUGGCAGUUAAGGAGACAAUAGAGCCUGCAGCCCGGCUCCCGGGAAACUCAAUACCACCAGGGAAAGCAGGGACACACAAAGCCUUGCAUCGAUCCAAUAGGAAGCCAAAGACUAAGCUUUACUCUCACCUGGACCCGUCACAGUGACAGGUCAGCAGCUGAAGAGUCUCCUGUGUUCUGUGAACACCAGACAGAGAAAGGAGGUGAUGAAGGUGGAGCUCAGAGGACACUGAAUCAUUAUCCUCUGAGCUC